GUGGUGUUGCGGAGGGAAUUGUGGGGGAGAUCAGAGGUGCAGCUCUGCUGGAGAGACCUGAGGCUUGCAACGCUGGGCCCGGCCGAGUCGCUGCGGCUGGGCUGGAGGUGAGGCGAAAGAAGGGCAUCCUCUGAUGGGAGUGGACCGGAGUCCGCUAAAGCGAAACAUUCCAGGCCAAGGUUAACUAUUUGUAACAUGUCAUCUUUCAAGGAAGCAUCUAACCAAAAUUAAGUCAAAGGCAUCUACCAGGUCCUGAAUUCUCUCCCAGAUGCACACCUUUUAAGGUCAAGGAUGCAUUCCAGGAAAGUUCCAUAAAAAUAUACCAUCAACUCCAACCUGAUAUUUGACCUAGCUGUGGAAAACCUCAUUGGCUCCUCACUAGAUCAGACCAUAAAAAUGAUUCAGGAAUGAAAAUCUAAGAUAAAUUCCCACCACUUCAAGAUGU
RNAcentral lists this small RNA (445 nucleotides) under Pongo abelii (Sumatran orangutan). Its description in RNAcentral is "processed transcript". The record is from RNAcentral. Lineage: Eukaryota; Metazoa; Chordata; Mammalia; Primates; Hominidae.